GCUGUGAUGGCCGAGUGGUUAAGGCGUUGGACUUGAAAUCCAAUAGGCUUCCCCUGUGCAGGUUCAAAUCCUGCUCACAGCG
Non-coding RNA from Mauremys reevesii (Reeves's turtle), 82 nucleotides. NCBI's taxonomy places the organism in Eukaryota, Metazoa, Chordata, Testudines, Geoemydidae. The record is from the annotation of a RefSeq genome assembly.